RNAcentral lists this ribosomal RNA (445 nucleotides) under uncultured bacterium. Its description in RNAcentral is "SSU rRNA". It matches the Rfam family "Bacterial small subunit ribosomal RNA", at positions 26 to 518 of the family's 1533-position model. The record is from RNAcentral.
AGAACGAACGCUGGCGGCAGGCUUAACACAUGCAAGUCGAACGCGUGUAGCAAUACACGAGUGGCGCACGGGUGAGUAACGCGUGGAUAUCUGCCUUUUGGUUCGGAAUAACCCCGGGAAACUGGGGCUAAUACCGGAUGGUUCCUACGGGAUAAAGAUUUAUCGCCAAAAGAUGAGUCCGCGUCCGAUUAGCUAGUUGGUGGGGUAAUGGCCUACCAAGGCGACGAUCGGUAGCUGGUCUGAGAGGACGAUCAGCCACACUGGGACUGAGACACGGCCCAGACUCCUACGGGAGGCAGCAGUGGGGAAUAUUGGACAAUGGGGGCAACCCUGAUCCAGCCAUGCCGCGUGAGUGAUGAAGGCCUUCGGGUUGUAAAGCUCUUUUGGCGGGACGAUGAUGACGGUACCCGCAGAAUAGCCCGGCUAACUUCGCGCCAGCAGCCGC